UACGGGGGGUGCGAGCGUUGUCCGGAAUCACUGGGCGUAAAGGGCGCGUAGGUGGCCCAGUCAGCGUGCGGUGAAAGCUCGGGGCUCAACCCCGAGUCGGCCGUGCGAACUACUGGGCUGGAGCACUGUAGAGGCAGGCGGAAUUCCGGGUGUAGCGGUGGAAUGCGUAGAGAUCCGGAAGAACACCGGUGGCGAAGGCGGCCUGCUGGGCAGUUGCUGACACUGAGGCGCGACAGCGUGGGGAGCAAACAGG
This 253-nucleotide ribosomal RNA is filed under the name uncultured bacterium. RNAcentral's name for it is "partial 16S ribosomal RNA". It matches the Rfam family "Bacterial small subunit ribosomal RNA", at positions 524 to 776 of the family's 1533-position model. The record is from RNAcentral.